RNAcentral lists this long non-coding RNA (309 nucleotides) under Ananas comosus (pineapple). Its description in RNAcentral is "long non-coding RNA (ACOM_LNC026020)". Lineage: Eukaryota; Viridiplantae; Streptophyta; Magnoliopsida; Poales; Bromeliaceae. The record is from RNAcentral.
ACUGGGAACUAUUCGUAGUUCUCACCCCACUUUGUUGCAGGACCGAGUACGAGUGCACCAGCUGAGGAUCGUGGUAAGGGCUUAGCGCCCUAGUGUUGGUAGCAUACCUUCCUAUUGCAUUAGAGUUACUCUAUAUAUAUUGAGAGUAGAUGAUGUAUACGAUGUGAGAUAUUUUGGGAUGAAUGUAAACUAAUAUUUAUACUUUGGAAGAUGUAAGCUUUACGUUAUGUUUUGGAAGCUUAAUGUAUAAUUAAAUUGUAUAAAGUUGAAUGAAUGUAAUAGAUAGAUGUUCCUCUCUUUUAUUCACCU